RNAcentral lists this ribosomal RNA (263 nucleotides) under uncultured bacterium. RNAcentral describes it as "partial 16S ribosomal RNA". The record is from RNAcentral.
CUGCUGCCUCCCGUAGGAGUUUGGGCCGUGUCUCAGUCCCAAUGUGGCCGUCCACCCUCUCAGGCCGGCUACUGAUCGCUGCCUUGGUGGGCCGUUACCCCGCCAACUAGCUAAUCAGACGCGGAUCCAUCGUAUACCACCGGAGUUUUUCACACUGCCCCAUGCGGAGCCGUGCGCUUAUGCGGUAUUAGCACCUAUUUCUAAGUGUUAUCCCCCGGUAUACGGCAGGUUAUCCACGCGUUACUCACCCCGUCCGCCACUAA